RNAcentral lists this ribosomal RNA (494 nucleotides) under uncultured bacterium. RNAcentral's name for it is "partial 16S ribosomal RNA". It matches the Rfam family "Bacterial small subunit ribosomal RNA", at positions 28 to 507 of the family's 1533-position model. The record is from RNAcentral.
GGCGAACGCUGGCGGCGCGCUUAACACAUGCAAGUCGAACGGAAAGGCCUGCUUUCCCUUGUGGAUUGCGGGUACUCGAGUGGCGAACGGGUGAGUAACACGUGAGUGAUCUGCCCCCAACUUGGGUAUAAGCCUGGGAAACUGGGUCUAAUUCCCGAUAGGACUGCAGGGUGGUGCCUGUGGUGGAAAACGAUUUUCUAGUGGUUGGGGAUGAGCUCGCGGCCUAUCAGCUUGUUGGUGGGGUAAUGGCCUACCAAGGCGGCGACGGGUAGCCGGCCUGAGAGGGUGGACGGCCCCAUUGGGACUGAGAUACGGCCCAGACUCCUACGGGAGGCAGCAGUGGGGAAUAUUGCACAAUGGGCGGAAGCCUGAUGCAGCGACGCCGCGUGGGGGAUGACGGCCUUCGGGUUGUAAACUCCUUUCGACCGCGAGGAAGCCACCUGGUUGGAAGGGUGGUGACGGUAGUGGUAGAAGAAGCACCGGCUAACUACGUG